AGAGUUUGAUCCCGGCUCAGAAUCAACGCUGGCGGCGCGCUUAACACAUGCAAGUCGCACGAGAAAGGGAGCAAUCCUGAGUAAAGUGGCGUACGGGUGAGUAACACGUGGAUCAUCUACCUUUUAGUGGGGAAUACCUCUUGGAAACGGGAGACAAUACCGCAUAAGCUCGAAAGAGGAAAGCAGCAAUGCGCUGAAAGAGGAGUCCGCGGCUGAUUAGCUAGUUGGUGGGGUAAUGGCUCACCAAGGCGACGAUCGGUAGCCGGCCUGAGAGGGCUCACGGCCACACUGGCACUGAAACACGGGCCAGACUCCUACGGGAGGCAGCAGUGGGGAAUCUUGCACAAUGGAGGCAACUCUGAUGCAGCGACGCCGCGUGAGCGAUGAAGCCCUUCGGGGUGUAAAGCUCUUUCGACGGGGACGAUAAUGACGGUACCCGGAGAAGAAGCUGCGGCUAACUACGUGCCAGCAGCCGCGGUAAUACGUAGGCAGCGAGCGUUGUUCGGAAUUACUGGGCGUAAAGAGUGUGUAGGCGGUGCUCUAAGUUUGUUGUGAAAUCUCCCGGCUUAACUGGGAGGGUGCGGCGAAAACUGGAGUGCUCGAGUAUGGGAGAGGUAAGCGGAAUUCCUGGUGUAGCGGUGAAAUGCGUAGAUAUCAGGAGGAACACCUGUGGUGUAGACAGCUUACUGGACCAUCACUGACGCUGAGACACGAAAGCGUGGGUAGCAAACAGGAUUAGAUACCCUGGUAGUCCACGCCCUAAACGAUGCAUACUUGGUGUGAGCCAUUCAUUUGGUUCGUGCCGGAGCUAACGCGUUAAGUAUGCCGCCUGGGGAGUACGGUCGCAAGGCUGAAACUCAAAGGAAUUGACGGGGGCCCGCACAAGCGGUGGAGCAUGUGGUUCAAUUCGACGCAACGCGAAGAACCUUACCUGGGCUCGAACGGCUUUGGAUCGACGGUAGAAAUACUGUUUUCCCGCAAGGGACCGGAGUCGAGGUGCUGCAUGGCUGUCGUCAGCUCGUGUCUGAGAUGUUGGGUUAAGUCCCGCAACGAGCGCAACCCUUGUCCUGUGUUGCCAUCAUUAAGUUGGGAACUCGCAGGAGACCGCCAGCGAUAAGUUGGAGGAAGGUGGGGAUGAUGUCAAGUCAUCAUGGCCUUUAUGUCCAGGGCUACACACGUGCUACAAUGGACGGUACAAAGCGCUGCAAACCCGCGAGGGGGAGCCAAUCGCAAAAAACCGUUCUCAGUUCGGAUCGCAGGCUGCAACCCGCCUGCGUGAAGCUGGAAUCGCUAGUAAUGGCGUAUCAGAACGACGCCGUGAAUACGUUCCCGGGCCUUGUACACACCGCCCGUCACAUCACGAAAGUGGAUUGUACUGGAAGUCCUAAUCAAACAGGCCCAAGGUAUGAUUCAUGAUUGGGGUGAAGUCGAAACAAGGUA
Molecule: ribosomal RNA, 1440 nt
Filed under: metagenome
Description: bacterial SSU rRNA
Rfam family: Bacterial small subunit ribosomal RNA
Source: RNAcentral